AGCGAACGCUGGCGGCAGGCCUAACACAUGCAAGUCGAACGAACCUUUCGGGGUUAGUGGCGGACGGGUGAGCAACACGUGGGAACGUGCCUUUAGGUUUGGAAUAACGCAGGGAAACAUGUGCUAAUACCGACGGUGCUCUUCCGUGGGAAGUGUUAUCGCCGUUAGAGCGGCUGGCGACCGAUUAGCUAGUUGGGUGAGGUAAUGGCGCACCAAGGCUGCUAUCGGUAGCUGGUCAGAGAGGAUGAUCAGCCACAUUGGGUGUGAGACACGGCCCGGACUCCUACGGGAGGGAGCAGUGGGGGAUCUUGCGCAAUGGGGGAAGGCCUGAAGCAGCCAUGCCGGGUGAAUGAUGAAGGUCGUAGGAUAGGAAAAUUAUUUAACCGGGGACGAUAAUGACGGUACCCGGAGAAGAAGCCCCGGCUAACUUCGUG
Molecule: ribosomal RNA, 434 nt
Filed under: uncultured bacterium
Lineage: Bacteria
Description: partial 16S ribosomal RNA
Rfam family: Bacterial small subunit ribosomal RNA
Source: RNAcentral